GCAUGAAGCCCCCCUCAAGAUGAGAUUUCCCAUAGCGCAAGCUAGUAAGAACCCUGAAAGAUGAUCAGGUUGAUAGGUCAGAGGUGGAAGCGUGGUAACAUGUGGAGCUGACUGAUACUAAUCGUUCGAGGACUUAACCAA
RNAcentral lists this ribosomal RNA (141 nucleotides) under Bacillus sp. ISL-7. RNAcentral's name for it is "partial 23S ribosomal RNA". It matches the Rfam family "Bacterial large subunit ribosomal RNA", at positions 2785 to 2925 of the family's 2925-position model. The record is from RNAcentral. Lineage: Bacteria; Bacillati; Bacillota; Bacilli; Caryophanales; Bacillaceae.